This 492-nucleotide ribosomal RNA is filed under the name uncultured bacterium. RNAcentral describes it as "partial 16S ribosomal RNA". It matches the Rfam family "Bacterial small subunit ribosomal RNA", at positions 29 to 507 of the family's 1533-position model. The record is from RNAcentral.
AGUGAACGCUGGCGGUAGGCCUAACACAUGCAAGUCGAACGGCAGCACAGUAAGAGCUUGCUCUUACGGGUGGCGAGUGGCGGACGGGUGAGGCAUACAUCGGAAUCUACUUUUUCGUGGGGGAUAACGUAGGGAAACUUACGCUAAUACCGCAUACGACCUACGGGUGAAAGCAGGGGAUCUUCGGACCUUGCGCGAUUGAAUGAGCCGAUGUCGGAUUAGCUAGUUGGCGGGGUAAAGGACCACCAAGGCGACGAUCCGUAGCUGGUCUGAGAGGAUGAUCAGCCACACUGGAACUGAGACACGGUCCAGACUCCUACGGGAGGCAGCAGUGGGGAAUAUUGGACAAUGGGCGCAAGCCUGCUCCAGCCAUACCGCGUGGGUGAAGAAGGCCUUCGGGUUGUAAAGCCCUUUUGUUGGGAAAGAAAAGCAGCAGGUUAAUACCCCGCUGUUCUGACGGUACCCAAAGAAUAAGCACCGGCUAACUUCGUG